This 549-nucleotide small RNA is filed under the name Diaporthe infecunda. RNAcentral describes it as "eukaryotic LSU rRNA". The stretch from base 233 to 386 matches the Rfam family "5.8S ribosomal RNA". The record is from RNAcentral. Lineage: Eukaryota; Fungi; Ascomycota; Sordariomycetes; Diaporthales; Diaporthaceae.
UUUGGAAGUAAAAGUCGUAACAAGGUCUCCGUUGGUGAACCAGCGGAGGGAUCAUUGCUGGAACGCGCUUCGGCGCACCCAGAAACCCUUUGUGAACUUAUACCUAUUGUUGCCUCGGCGUCAGGCCGGCCUCUUCACUGAGGCCCCCCGGAGACGGGGAGCAGCCCGCCGGCGGCCAACUAAACUCUUGUUUCUAUAGUGAAUCUCUGAGUAAAAAACAUAAAUGAAUCAAAACUUUCAACAACGGAUCUCUUGGUUCUGGCAUCGAUGAAGAACGCAGCGAAAUGCGAUAAGUAAUGUGAAUUGCAGAAUUCAGUGAAUCAUCGAAUCUUUGAACGCACAUUGCGCCCUCUGGUAUUCCGGAGGGCAUGCCUGUUCGAGCGUCAUUUCAACCCUCAAGCCUGGCUUGGUGAUGGGGCACUGCUUCGAAAGGAGCAGGCCCUGAAAUUCAGUGGCGAGCUCGCCAGGACCCCGAGCGUAGUAGUUAUAUCUCGCUUUGGAAGGCCCUGGCGGUGCCCUGCCGUUAAACCCCCAACUUCUGAAAAUUGA